Molecule: non-coding RNA, 107 nt
Organism: Gossypium hirsutum (cotton)
Lineage: Eukaryota; Viridiplantae; Streptophyta; Magnoliopsida; Malvales; Malvaceae
Source: Rfam
AUCCCAUGGUGAAGGCAUCUAUGAAAUAACUCCUUGAAUCUUUUCCACAACUCGUAUAGGGACUCGUCAUCCAAUUGUUGAAAAGUGGUGAUCUCAUUCCGCAACUU